This 198-nucleotide ribosomal RNA is filed under the name uncultured bacterium. RNAcentral's name for it is "partial 16S ribosomal RNA". It matches the Rfam family "Bacterial small subunit ribosomal RNA", at positions 328 to 539 of the family's 1533-position model. The record is from RNAcentral.
ACGCUCGACACCUACGGGGGGCAGCAGUGGGGAAUAUUGCACAAUGGGGGAAACCCUGAUGCAGCGACGCCGCGUGAAGGAUGAAGUAUUUCGGUAUGUAAACUUCUAUCAGCAGGGAAGAAAGUGACGGUACCUGACUAAGAAGCCCCGGCUAACUACGUGUCAGCAGCCGCGGUAAUCUGAGCGGGCUGGCAAGGC